CAAUCGGCCCUUUUCAGGGCCACCACAAACAAAGCCAAAAACAAUUU
Lasius niger is the source of this 47-nucleotide regulatory RNA element. It matches the Rfam family "Histone 3' UTR stem-loop". Rfam says of the family: The mRNAs of metazoan histone genes lack a poly-A tail. 3' end processing occurs at a site between a highly conserved stem-loop (modelled by this family) and a purine rich region around 20 nts downstream (the histone downstream element, or HDE). NCBI's taxonomy places the organism in Eukaryota, Metazoa, Arthropoda, Insecta, Hymenoptera, Formicidae. The record is from Rfam.